Molecule: ribosomal RNA, 1077 nt
Filed under: Salmonella enterica
Lineage: Bacteria; Pseudomonadati; Pseudomonadota; Gammaproteobacteria; Enterobacterales; Enterobacteriaceae
Description: partial 23S ribosomal RNA
Rfam family: Bacterial large subunit ribosomal RNA
Source: RNAcentral
GAAGGUGGCCUGUGAGGGUUGCUGGAGGUAUCAGAAGUGCGAAUGCUGACAUAAGUAACGAUAAAGCGGGUGAAAAGCCCGCUCGCCGGAAGACCAAGGGUUCCUGUCCAACGUUAAUCGGGGCAGGGUGAGUCGACCCCUAAGGCGAGGCCGAAAGGCGUAGUCGAUGGGAAACGGGUUAAUAUUCCCGUACUUGGUGUUACUGCGAAGGGGGGACGGAGAAGGCUAUGUUGGCCGGGCGACGGUUGUCCCGGUUUAAGCGUGUAGGUGUGUGUUCCAGGUAAAUCCGGUUCACUUUAACACUGAGGCGUGACGACGAGGCACUACGGUGCUGAAGCAACAAAUGCCCUGCUUCCAGGAAAAGCCUCUAAGCAUCAGGUAACAUCAAAUCGUACCCCAAACCGACACAGGUGGUCAGGUAGAGAAUACCAAGGCGCUUGAGAGAACUCGGGUGAAGGAACUAGGCAAAAUGGUGCCGUAACUUCGGGAGAAGGCACGCUGACACGUAGGUGAAGUGAUUUACUCAUGGAGCUGAAGUCAGUCGAAGAUACCAGCUGGCUGCAACUGUUUAUUAAAAACACAGCACUGUGCAAACACGAAAGUGGACGUAUACGGUGUGACGCCUGCCCGGUGCCGGAAGGUUAAUUGAUGGGGUCAGCGCAAGCGAAGCUCCUGAUCGAAGCCCCGGUAAACGGCGGCCGUAACUAUAACGGUCCUAAGGUAGCGAAAUUCCUUGUCGGGUAAGUUCCGACCUGCACGAAUGGCGUAAUGAUGGCCAGGCUGUCUCCACCCGAGACUCAGUGAAAUUGAACUCGCUGUGAAGAUGCAGUGUACCCGCGGCAAGACGGAAAGACCCCGUGAACCUUUACUAUAGCUUGACACUGAACAUUGAGCCUUGAUGUGUAGGAUAGGUGGGAGGCUUUGAAGUGUGGACGCCAGUCUGCAUGGAGCCGACCUUGAAAUACCACCCUUUAAUGUUUGAUGUUCUAACGUGGACCCGUUACCCGGGUUGCGGACAGUGUCUGGUGGGUAGUUUGACUGGGGCGGUCUCCUCCUAAAGAGUAACGGAGGAGCACG